UUUUUUUUUUUUUUUUUAUGCUGGUUUGGUAUGGGAUUUGUUAGAUUUAUCCCUUUUUUGGUGUGGGAUUUGUUUAUUUUGAGUUUAGUGGAUAGAUUUUGGGAUUUGAAGUUUGGUUUUGGGAGGUUGUUGGAGGUUGUGUGGAGUAAAUUUUUAGGGUAAUUAUGAGGGGUUACUAAUUUUCACAUAUCAUUGGAUGGGAUGGUGUGUGAGAUUUGUGGGGUUUGAGAAUUUUUAAUUGCCUCAUUAACAACCUAAUCAUUCAAAGCAUUUUGGAGUAGACCAUGUUCAAUGUUUUCUUCCUAUAAUUUUAAGGUUUGACAAUUAAUAGGAAUUGUGAGUUGGCUAAAAUUAGCAUUAUGGUAUUAGACCUAUUGAGUAAUUAUUAUUGUUGUUGUUCAACACAGGGGAGAAAGAAUUGAGUGUGCCCUAUUUAAUGGGUAACGUUACAGACUUACAGCUGUAUUUUUUUUUUUUCAGAGGAGCAGGAUAAAUAAUUCUACUCCACUAUCAAUCAAGAGGCAGCUUAGGUGUUCUGUAACUUCUUCCUGUCCAUCCCUUCAUCCAAUGCAUCAUCAUGCAUGGCAUCCAAAUAAACCAUUGAAUUUUGACCCUAAUGUUUUUUCAUUUUUCUCAGAUAUUAAUCCAGUUGAAAUAUGUUUGGAUAGCAGAUUAUUUGAAAUAAUUACUGUAGUAUUUUUUGUGAUGUGAUGUGAUGUAUGUGAGAUAAAAAGAUAAUUGUGAAGAUAAAAAGAUGUAUUGAAAAUUGUAUUUGUGAUGUAAACAAAUAAUUUUUAGCCAUUAUUUGGCUAUCCAAACAAAUAAUAUGUCUUUUUUUUUUUGUCUGUUUUCGGUUGAAGGAAGAAUAAUCCUAGUAAUUAUAUGUAAAAGUUUCAAAAAUUUCCCAUCAAAUUAACAAUGAAACAUAACUAGAAUCGAUCGUCUCUCAAACACGAAAAUAAAAAUUAAAAAAAAAUGAGGGGAAAUAGAACUAGGAUUUGAAGGCAAUGACAUUUAAAAAAAAUUGGUGAUAUAUAAUGCUUUUCAUGUCCCAUAUUAUCUAAGUUGAUGGCGAUAAGAAAAUCUGAGAUAUGAUCCUUAUGCAACGACCGAUUUUGAUAAUGUCACCCUGAUUCUCGUAACUAUAAUAGUUACAUUAAUGAUAAAAUGUGCCAUAAUUAUUUUUUUUAUCAUUCAUGAUUGAGAGACCUAACUCCAUUAGAACUUCAUAGCCAAACAUCUUAAGAUACAACGCAGUAAUUCAUUCUAGAAAAAGCAAAACCAUAAGAAACCAUCAAUUUAUGAAAAGUUGAAAAUAUAAAGAAUUAGUUCUCGAAUUCAGUGAAAAGAAUCAAGUAUUGCACAUGAUAACUGGAUACUAAUAAUACUAUAGUAAAUCACAGCUAGUCAUAAGUCAUUUCAUGGCCAAGAAUAACAUGUGCAUGUAUGUGCCUACUUAUAUUCUAUACUAUAUGGCUCGACAUUAGUAUAGCAUGUGGGUGUAUAAGUGGAUAUUAUUAUAGUGUGUAUGUAUAUAUAUGUGUGUGCGCGUGUUUUAGCGUGUAUUCACGUACAACAAAAGUUUAGGGUUUAAAGUUUAUAUCUAUAACAUGUUUUAAGGUGAGAGUCGAAUAUCAAGUACAAGACGCUCAACCACUAACUUCAUUUCCCAUUUAUCUAUAAUUGAAAAAGAAAUCAAAUUUGUAACGCCAGUCAUAUAUAUAUAUAUAUAUAUACAUAUAUGUAGUACAUAACAAUAAUUACACAAUAACACAUUUUGGAAUUCAUUUUUGCAAUGGCCAGCAAUAUGUGAAGAGGGCAACUGCCGAUGUUUUUAUAUUUUUGUCUUUUCCUUUUACAAAGGGCUAGUAAGCCAGCAAUAUGUGUUACUUAUGGAUUCAAUUUUCUUGCUUCCUUCUUUUUCACCUUACUAAAGGAGAAAAGAAAAUCUACACCAAGUCUAUGAGUAUAAGUUGGUGUAAAAUGACAAUAAUAUCAAGCUUAAUAUGUAAUAUAUAUCACGGUCAUAACUCGGUAAAAAGAAGCAUAAAAUUUGGUUCUUUUGAUAAGAACAAAAGAAUGAAGGUUAAUAAUGAUUUCAUCUUUUCAUAUAUCAUUUUCAGCCAAGAUUCAUCCUACCUAUUACUAUUGCCUUAGAAGGAGGCAAAAGGGAAAAUUUUCCAUGUUUUGGCUGUUUGAUGAAACUAGAACAAGCCCAACUAACUAAUAUAAAGUUAAAAAAAAACAAGCACUACUAUCUUCUGGUUACAGAUUAUUUCGAGCAUUAUUUGAGUGCAAAAAAAGGGCAACAAUUAGUUGGAAGGUUAAUUUUCAAGAUACUUCAAUUUUGUAUUGACUUUCAGUGCUCGAAGCAAACCCCCAUUUCUCUUAUAUAUCCUCAUGAUCAUAUCCAUUAGAAACACUACUUCAAAUUUUUAGAUCCCAUAAGAAAUAAUGACAUUAAAGGGUAGAUGAUUAUGGUAGGUUACAAGAAAUAAUAAAAAGAAAAACACAAAUUAAGCAAAAAUCUGUUGCAUUACGUUGACUGAUCAUCCAUCCUUAUAACUUCUGCAUGUCAUUUACGUUAGGGCGAAUAUAUAGUACAACUCAAAACUAAGAACCGAAACAUGCACGCACGGGAACUUUCACUAGUGUUUCGUAAAAUAUAUAAAUCUCUAAAUACGUUUCUUCAAGCAUUGCUACAAGCAAAAACUCAUACUCAGGCUGCAAAAGAAAACGUCAUUUUUCUUAAAGAUAACGUUAUUUUACUCUAGUAUCAUGUUUUACUCCAAAAAAGCUACACAUUAUCCUGCUAUUCUCAAAUAAAAAUACUACAAAUAGCAGCUGAUGAGUACGAGGGAGAAGAGAAGUAUAAUGGAUUGGAACUAACAAAAUCAAUGGGAAAGAAUUGCAUGCUUUCACUAUUAUCUUUCUUGAGAAUCAAAACAAAGAAAGGCUUUUUCUUUUUCUGGCUUGGAAUAUUUUGAUGAGGAAUAUAAUUCUCAUAAGAAGCGGACUUUCGACAGUACUGUUGAUAUGGACAGCAAGACUUUUGAUCUUUUCCCUCUGCAUGAUUGAUAAUUAAUAUGUUUUCUUCCUUUCCACCGGCUUGCUGCAUUCAUUUUUUCUUUCUCUGGAAACCCGAAAUUUUGGACUUGGGUUUUUCCUUCAAAACAUGGCCCUUAUCUUCUUUCUCUGCAUUUGAUCAGUUUGAGGUGGGGGUGGGUCGGGUGAGAUUUGGAGGUGAAUUAAUGGUAGAGAGGAAAGGAGACAAAAUCAUGUGAGAGUUGGGGUUGUCACACUUUAGUGUGUGGUAAUACUUGAAAGGAAGGCAAAAGCCCCCUUUCAAGAACUCUUUUAUUUCUAGUGUCUUAUGUCCCAAUUUUGGUUAGGCUACUGCUAGCAUCAUGUGAUGAAUGUGUACGUGCAGAUUAUUGGUUAGAAAAACAGCACUAGACUGCUAGACUUGACCAAACUAGCUAGUGCUAGUUCCCUUCAGCUCAAAGCUCAUUGUCACCUUGUAAGUAAAAUGGAGUGAUCUCCAAGAUACUCUAAAAAAAGUUUUGCCACCCCAAAUUCCUCACUAGCUACCAUACGCCUUAUAAUAAUUCUAUUGUUGUCAUCUAUGGAUUAUUAAUUAGGACUAAAAGUCCAAGCAGUAAAGCAUCUCCUUGGUCCUCUGCAGUAUGUAAUAUAGGGAUUGAGAUCCUCUGCAGUCAAUGACUAUAUGGGGUGUUUUGAAAUUGGACUAUAUUUGUCAUGUCAGUGUUAUAUCACUUUGUUUGUUUUAUUUUUUGUGAUAUUGGUGACGGUAGAAACCACACCUUUGACGUAUUAAUAUCUAUCCUUAGCUCCUACUACGUAAAUCAUAGCAAAUGCUGAGUAUAAAACAAUAGAAAUCUGCUUGUGCUCUUGUACUAAAAUAGUAGGAUAAAUUCCUAGAGCAGGAACUGACAGUUUGUUGGGUAUCCUAUUUUACAAGAAAAGUUAAAUCUGCGGUCGAUGUGCAAAACACUAGAAAAAUAUGAAAUACUAACAUGAAUGAGACGGCCACCGUCUGCUACAUGUGACUAUCUGAAGCGGAAGGUAAGGGAACCAUGCCUUUCCUAGCAGUUUCUUUUAUAAGUCAGCAUCAUGUUCCCUGCUUUUCUACUUAAUAAAACCCACGCAAGCAAGAUUGAUAGAUAAAUGAACUUUACAGAUCUGAAAAGCAUGAAGACAAGCUCAUAGAAAAAGAUGGAUUUGUUGUUGUUAUUGUCGGUUCCCAGAUUUUCAGCUCCUCUUCAGGUUCCUAAAUGCACAUUGUCAAAAAUUCCAUAAACAAUGUGAGAAAAGACUGGAACUUCUUGAAGCCAAAUUCUGCACUCUUUGUUUUCUUCUGUUUGCUUGUUUUAAGGUGCAAACAAACUUAUGACAUAGUCAUGGAAAGGUAAAAGAAAAGUCUGAAAGUUCAACAAGCGCAGGGGGCUUGGAUGCCUACUUUAACCUACUUAACGUAAGGAAAAUGAAUUCUGCCUUCUCCGCGAAAGACUCUAUGCAUUUGAUUAAAGCCAGCUAAGUUUGUCUGGUUUCCAGAAGGUAUAGUUAUUGCAUUCAACCAGUAUCACGGUCUGUCUUUGAAAGGACUCGGGGCUUCUCUUGCUGGCAAAUGCAUUCAAAGUCAAUACUCUCAAGUUUCCUUGUCUAGCAGCCUGGCAGCUCACAAAGAGCCCAUCAUCAGCCUACCAAACUUUUUAAGAAGUUGCAGACUGAUUGCCAUGUAGCAUGCUGCGGGAAUCUACUUUCUUCCAACUGUUUUCUACACGGCUUUAACUCUAUCUGCAUGUCCCACGUUCUUUUUAGUGUCCAUUCGUGCAAAAUACAAAGUUUUCACUUUCCCACCGCGCGAGACUCUGACCAAGUAAAUAUAAUACGGAUAUCCAAUGUGAAACUAUCAAUUUUAAUGACUUUCAUUCAAAUGCAGAGCCAACAAAAAGGGAUCUUUCCAUGUAAUAAGUUGCUAGAGAUACACACGCGUUUACCAAGAAUUUGAGUUAAACCAGUACACAGAUUUUAAUCUAUCCAUGGCUUCAGCAAAACAACUUGACUUCCUGACCCAUGUUGAACACUCUCACUAAGAUAAGGGGCAGCAAGCAUCCAACAUCUCCUGCACAAAGAGACUGGAAACUCCAUUCUUGUAGCAGCCCUCUAAAAUUGUUCACA
Molecule: long non-coding RNA, 5202 nt
Filed under: Coffea arabica (coffee)
Lineage: Eukaryota; Viridiplantae; Streptophyta; Magnoliopsida; Gentianales; Rubiaceae
Description: long non-coding RNA (CARA_LNC001065)
Source: RNAcentral